CUCAUGACUGGUGAGGUUGGGUGCCCUUGU
Molecule: non-coding RNA, 30 nt
Filed under: Homo sapiens (human)
Lineage: Eukaryota; Metazoa; Chordata; Mammalia; Primates; Hominidae
Source: RNAcentral